This is a long non-coding RNA of Lytechinus variegatus (green sea urchin), 126 nucleotides long. RefSeq lists it as uncharacterized. The record is from RefSeq and is a predicted model, not a curated record. The transcript has 3 exons. Lineage: Eukaryota; Metazoa; Echinodermata; Echinoidea; Temnopleuroida; Toxopneustidae.
GUGACCACAACAACUUCCACUACAACAGUGACAACAACACCAGAGACUACAACUACUGCCAUGCCAGUUACUACAGGUGAAAUUGGUGAUGCAGCUGUAGAAACUACGCGCCCACCAAGAUACACA